AUGGCCUCUAUUAUUAAUUCUUCGUUUGAACUUGUAGGAUUCUACUCAAGACUCGGAGAGUUGUUAUUUCUUGUCAAUUAGAGUAUGGUAUCUGAAUGGUGCAUUAUGUUACUUGAUUAUAAAUUCUACAUUCCUACUAAACCUACAACUUUCUCUACCAUUUCCUGUUAUGUGGCUUUUUAGUUGAAGUUGGAUGACAAAGAAAU
Molecule: unclassified non-coding RNA, 206 nt
Filed under: Hevea brasiliensis (rubber tree)
Lineage: Eukaryota; Viridiplantae; Streptophyta; Magnoliopsida; Malpighiales; Euphorbiaceae
Source: RNAcentral